GAUGAACGCUGGCGGCGUGCCUAAUACAUGCAAGUCGAGCGAACGGACGAGAAGCUUGCUUCUCUGAUGUUAGCGGCGGACGGGUGAGUAACACGUGGAUAACCUACCUAUAAGACUGGGAUAACUUCGGGAAACCGUAGCUAAUACCGGAUAAUAUUUUGAACCGCAUGGUUCAAAAGUGAAAGACGGUCUUGCUGUCACUUAUAGAUGGAUCCGCGCUGCAUUAGCUAGUUGGUAAGGUAACGGCUUACCAAGGCAACGAUGCAUAGCCGACCUGAGAGGCUGAUCGGCCACACUGGAACUGAGGCACGGUCCAGACUCCUAAGGGAGGCAGCAGUAGGGAAUCUUACGCAGUGGGCGAAAGCCUGACGGAGCAACGCCGCGUGAGUGAUGAAGGUCUUCGGAUCGUAAAACUCUGUUAUUAGGGAAGAACAUAUGUGUAAGUAGCUGUGCACAUAUUGACGGUACCUAAUCAGAAAGCCACGGCUAACUACGUG
This 497-nucleotide ribosomal RNA is filed under the name uncultured bacterium. RNAcentral's name for it is "partial 16S ribosomal RNA". It matches the Rfam family "Bacterial small subunit ribosomal RNA", at positions 28 to 507 of the family's 1533-position model. The record is from RNAcentral.